UACGGAGGGGGCUAGCGUUGUUCGGAAUUACUGGGCGUAAAGCGCACGUAGGCGGCUUUGUAAGUUAGAGGUGAAAGCCCGGGGCUCAACUCCGGAAUUGCCUUUAAGACUGCAUCGCUAGAAUUGUGGAGAGGUAAGUGGAAUUCCGAGUGUAGAGGUGAAAUUCGUAGAUAUUAGGAAGAACACCAGUGGCGAAGGCGGCCAACUGGCCCGAUACUGACGCUCAUGUGCGAAAGCGUGGGGAGCAAACAGG
RNAcentral lists this ribosomal RNA (253 nucleotides) under uncultured prokaryote. RNAcentral's name for it is "partial 16S ribosomal RNA". It matches the Rfam family "Bacterial small subunit ribosomal RNA", at positions 524 to 776 of the family's 1533-position model. The record is from RNAcentral.